This 20203-nucleotide long non-coding RNA is filed under the name Gallus gallus (chicken). The record is from RNAcentral. Lineage: Eukaryota; Metazoa; Chordata; Aves; Galliformes; Phasianidae.
GUGCAAUCAAUAUACAUAUACAGAUGAUAGACAGCUAAAGGAAUCUCCAAGAUGUUAGCAAGCAUGUGUAUGUGCAUGUGCCAAUGUGAACUUGCUUCUGGUAUGGAUUUUUCUUUUCUUUUUUUGUUUUUUUUUCUCUGAGUGCUGUAAAUUUCCAUUCGCUGUCAAAGGAAGAAGCUGAAUGGGCAAACAAUGUCCUUUGCGACAAAACUGAAAUAUAAUGUGGAUAGUUAUCUAAAGCAAACUAAUCAGGCAUGUUCCGAAAGGGUAUGCCUACACUAUCAAAAAGUAAUGCAUACAAACUUAUCCUCAAACCCAUACCUGCCUUCCAUCCACAAUGAUUAAUCUUAAGGAUUUUAGGAGCUCUUGAUUGAGGAUGAUCUAUGAUUUUACGUUAAUCAUAGAUUUAGAUUAAUUUAUUAAUGAGUCCAAACCCAUUCCCAGCCACUGCAUAGACCCAAACUCUUGUUUAACUGAUAUGGACAGACUAGGCUGUGGUGAGGCUGAGCAUACUACAUUCCUACAUCAUCAUCAGAUGAAUGAAGCACAGCUUUUUCCAUGGAUAACAUGGACCUCUGAGCUAUAAAAGCCAGUGUGGAUGGAAAGCUUUGAAAUCAUGGGUAUCCUUACAUCCACUUUUGAAACUUCUUUUCACCUGGCUGGUGAAAUGUGUAGACAUACCUAUGGAGGAUCAUGUCUUCUGCUUGAUAGCAAAUAUUUAUCUGCAUUGAUAUCGUUCAAUAUUGAUUCCCAGGUUGUACACUUGAGCAAAGGAAAUUGUCGUGUUGGAAGAAGGGAAAUAGUUAAGAACAGAAGACCUUAGUGCUGUUGAGUUACUCACAUGUUCUGACUGAGAGCACUAAGUCACUUCAAGGAGGCUGACAAUGAACCACAGCCAAUCACUAUUUCUCUCAGGAAUAGUCAGUGGUAAAACCUAAGCCCUGCUUACUGGAUUUAUUUACAUUUUGUAUUCAUUAUACAGCAUUUCUACCUGAGAGGUUGAGUAAGAGGUUGGAGGAGAUUAAACAUGAAUAAGAAACCCAUGAUGCAGGAUGUGUCAUUACAUACACUGGACAGAAUUCCAAUUUAAAUAUAUCUGGGCUGCCACUGACAAACAAUUUAAAAGCAACAGAUUUUUUACAGAUUUCUUUUGCUUUUCAUGAGGUUAUCCUCUUAUUUUUACAAAAAAAAAGGGGGGGGGGGGAGAGAGAGAAAGAGCAAGAAAGAAGAAAAAGAAAUGAAAGAAAAAAUGACUUUCACAGGUGAACAGUGCAUGUACAAUAUAUGAUAUUGACUGUGAUGUGGUUGUGAGUUACACUGAAUUGUAAGCUGCCUUGCUCUCUGUUUUCCUAAGGCUAUUCCUUGUGUCAUAUAUUGGUAUGUGACCCACAGCUGAGUGGCUAUUUCUUCUGUUCUUCUACCUGAGCCUUUAUAGCUCUUGGUAAUGUUUGGGAAGAGGACGGAGCUGAUAACCAGGGAAAUGGAGGCAGUGUAUUCCUCGUUAUCAAGUGUCGUAUUAGCGUACUGCUGAGUUUAUAGAGGGGUAAUAGCCCACCCCAAAGCAAUCUCCAGUAGUUCCACUUGCCAGUGGCAGAUGGAGAGCAAAAAAGCACAAAGAGUGUCAUGUUUUUGCUGGUGACCUAACAUCAUAAAGGAAAUGUAGACUCCAAAAUGGCUGGCAGUCCCCAGAUUAUCGUUAUUAAGUAAAUUUUUUUUUAAUCAAGAACAAAGUGCUCAUAUUUAUUCAAAAGAACAUUGUGUGGAGCAUGUUAAAUUCUGACUGCAGGAAUGGAUUACAAUCAAGUAGAUCCCCAAUGCUUUGAAAAUAAUUUUCACACACUAAUGUUUCUUUCACUGUUUUCAGACCACUUCAGAGAAGAGUAUGAUCUUACUGAGGCAGAGGGGCUCAGAUCUGUCAGUACCUCUCUGUAUAGAUCUGUUUGAGAGUGUGCAGAUUAUUUUUCUCUUGCCUUCUAAAGAAAAAAAUGUGCUACUUUAAGGAACUCUGCUCUAACUUUUAUGGGCUAAGGUCUUUUAUUUAUGGUUUUUAUUUUUAGGCAGAUUGGUGGUGAAUUACAAUACACCAUGACAGCUGAUAUUCACAUGUUAUAGCUGUAGCAUUAGCUUCAGUUGUUCUCCAUUUCAUUGCAAUGAUCUCUUAAAAUUGCAGUCAUACUUAAAAAGUAAUUACAUUUUGAUUCAAAGUGGAAAAAAGACAACUAUUUUUAUUGUUUAUGAGAUCUUGUGGCAUAUGGGUAUUUGUCAGCAAGCUAUAUAGUUCCUGCUGGUGUGUUUAUUUUGCUAAGUGUGAGGCAUACUAAAAAAUGACUAAUCAAGUUGCCCUUUUCAACCUGCUGACCUUAUAAAGAUAAUAAAUCCAUACUUUCCAUUCUGGUAUUGCUGAAUAAACAAUAUACCAACAGUUUGAAACUGGUACAAAACUGGAUUGGUAGACAAAAAAACUAAAAAUGAUCUGUCCAACUGUCAGUUCUGUAUGGUAAGAGGAAUGCUCCUAAGUCUUUUCAGAAUAAUGAACCUUAAUAGAGGUUAGAAUUCCCUCUUUCUCUUCCCUCUUUUUCUUGUAGAAAGAUGGAAAGGAAAAUGAGUAGAGACAACUGAAAUCUUGUCAUCUUCUAGCAUGUAAGAUAAAGGUUUUAAGUUAUGCCACCAGAACCACAGGAAUGUUUGGUAACUUUUUUCACUAGAAUCACAAGCCACUUCGUAAAUGGAAGAAUGAACAACAAUACAGAAACCAUUACAUAAGCAUUAAAGAUUUACCUAGCAUUAGAUGGUUCUUUUUUAAUUCCUCUUUACAAACAUCAAAUAUGAAAACAGCUUUUCCACAGUUCCAGGAAUCUUCCAGAAUUGUUCUUGUUGAAGAUGAUCCCUCAAUAAGCAUCUUUUAAAAUAAAACAUUUUAAUUCUUCUCAGUUCCUUCCAGAUGUUGGAAUGCUUUGAUACAGCAGAAUGAGUACUGGAAACUUUCUUUCAAAAUAUUAGAUGCUAUUAUUAACUAAUCCACAGAACCAGGGUUUGAAGAGUGGGGUGGGGGAAGAGUGAAUAUAUGACUCAUGUUAGCAUUGCAAGAUCUGACAGUACUAGAUUGUGCAUCUGAUUUAUAAAGAUUUUUUUUUUUUUUGACUGGAUUAUUAUUAUCGUUUUCAGAAGGGAAAGAAAAAAUAUAAAUAAACAUGACUUCUCAGCAAUGACUUCUUCCACCAUCUGGAUCUCUUGAGAAGAUUAAAAUUCUAUUUGUUGCUCAAUAUUACUUUAUUGGAUAAGAUAAUUAAUAGUUUUUUGAAGGGCUUCAGUGAGAUGAAAAGUCAAUUUUUGAUAGGAACAGAAUAUAUUCACAAGGUGGAUUACUACUCUGCUUUUAUUUCUAUAGUUUCAUGAGGGGUGUAACCAUUUCUUUGCUCUCUCAGUGUUUUCUGCUCAGAGAACAACUGUAAUCAUCAUGCAUGUUCCUUUCUACUUCAUAUUAUAGCAUCCAUGACACAGAUUACUCUUUUGAAGGUUAGGUGACAGGAGAGAUCCUGCACUAAAUUCACCCUCUGAGAUGAAUUCAUGCUUGCUGCCUUCCUGAAGUUGUACAGGAGGAUAUUUCUUGCUUCCCUGUUUCAAAGUUUUUUGUUAUAAUUAUUCUUCACUGCUUUUGAUGUGCUUGUGAUGAAGUAAUACCAUUACCAGUAGAUAGCAGAAGUCAACACAGUUAAAAUACUCUAAAGUGUGUAAAAGGCAUUUUUUGAUCCUUGUUAUGUAAAUGUCCUUGAAGAUUUCUGCUUCAUGUACUGACCAAACCAAGAUUUUCUAUUGUUAGCAAUGCAGAGCUAUUGCAAUCUGAAAGAAUGAGCUAUGUUCUGUUCUGAUGCAUGCAUCAUCAGCAAAAUUGUCAGCUACAUCUUAGUCACUGCACUUCUAUUAUGGGAACUUUUAGAAGUGAGGCUGGGUUUGUAGAGUUUGCAGACACUCAGAUUGCCUUUUUACUUGUAUGCUGAACAGACAUGGCAUGCAAAUCCACAUAAACCAGCAAACACUGAAUAGAACUCCCAUCAUGUUACUUUUAUGGUGUGGAUUUUGUAGUUAUUACCAACCUUUGGAGCUAGGAGGAAAAGUCCCAUUAUUACUUUGUUUUGUUUACAGAGAUGUCUGCCAUUUCAUUUCCACCAUGAGUUCUGUCUUGCAUGUGUAAUUCUUUGCUUGAAAGCAUUCUAAUCACAGGCUUGAGGAUUGACAUUUUACCUGAUAAUAGCUAAAUAAAUCUGUGUGCUUUAAGAGCCUUUGCUAAUGUCAGAGAAAAUGAAAAAUAUAUUUACUGUUUAAUAUGUGCCAAGAUUUUCAUAACACAGUUGUGUUAUGAUUGUAGUGUCUCUUGAUGGUGCCUCUUGGUUGUAGUGGGAAGCCUCACAACUGAAACCGAAUUGGUUCAUGGAUAGCAUGACUGCCUGGGGCUUUCUAACUUAAGGAAAUAACAGGGCCUGCAUCUCUGCUGUUGUUUCCAACUAACUGUCCCUGCUAACUUCUGAAAGUGUCCUCCUUGCUUCAGAAAACUAUGUCCAAAAAAACUUUUAUUUUUCAUCUUAGAGAUGUCAGUGCACAGUUUUCAUUUUUCACACUUAGAGAUGUCAGAUGCUGGCUGAGUGGACAAAGUAAACUGGAGUAUGCAUCAUAGGGAUUUUAUUCCUAAGUAGCUGUGAGACAUUUCUCUUACAUGGUUAUUAACACAAAGCAGUACCCAGAUAGGUGAUGCAUGUAGGUUCCUGAAGAAGAUUUGUCCUGCCUUUUCGAUUAGAUUCUCAGAAGGAACUGUAUUGUACACAGAAAAUAAGGAUGACUAUUGGAAACAAGUGAGGAUGAGUACAUUCUACUGUAUCUUAAAGUAGGUAUGAUUGUUUCCGUAGGAUAUUGUCAGAGAAACAGAGCUGUUCUGGUGAAGGAUAUACACCUUUCCUUUAGUAACUAGUGAGGAUAUAUUAUGCUGGCUCAUCUCUUUCGCUACCUUAUUUGUGGAGACUUUAGAUUGUUCAAUUGAAGUUUUUUGGAGGUGAUUUGUUGAUUUCAGCAGAAGUUCUAUCAGCAAAGCAAGGCGUAUUUGCAAAGAACUUUUAUGCUUUUGCACAGGGGAAAGCAUUUCAGUAACUUCUGCUUCUGAAAGUGUCUAUGAUCUGUGGCUGUCAUCCUGGAAAACAUCCAAACCCCCUGCACAACUUUUGCUAAUACUCCAUCUCAGUUGUGAGAUAGAUUAAGAUGCUUGUUUGUAUUAAUUUUUGUUUGUUUGUUUGUUAUUUUUCCAUUCAAAGUUCCAACAAAAAUUCCCCAUGUACUGGAUGCUGAACCAACAGAUAGUUCCAGCUCAGCUCCAGACAGCUUUGUUCCCUGGACAUUAAAGCUCCACAAGGAAGUUACUUUCAGAAAUAAGCAGAUAACUGAUGUCCCACUGAGAUAGUGCUGUUGGAGAUCUUGGUCCUCCUUUCUAACGUAAUGAUCUCCAUGUCUCUGAGAUGUUUAAUGUGAAAACUGAUCUUCCAAAGAUGGAAGAAGUGGUGAUGCUGGUGGGUUUUUUAUUUCUUUCCUAACUCAUAAUUUUAUAAAAUGAAAUAUGAUGCGUUGCAUUUGCAUUUUUUAUCAGGUAUAAUUAUAUUUGCCUAUGUAUAAAACUCACACAUGUUACAAAGGACUUCUUUUCCCAACAGAGAAGUUAUCCUUCAAAUUAUGACGUAUCAUAUGACAAUUUUCUUUUAGUUGUGUAUUAAUUGCAAAAUAAAUCUAUCCAAGAACAAGAUUUCUAAUUUUUUUUCUUCCUGAUGACAGGCACAAAAUCUCUGAGUCAUGAGAAAAUGACUUCUGUAAGUUACAGAUUUUUAAAAAAUGCUAUUGAUUUGGGCCAGUGGUCUGCGUAGCUCCAUAUUUAUCAAUUCUUCCCCUUGAAUUAGCUAAAGCUCACCUCAGUGCUAAGACUUCAGGCUAUAUUUUCUCCAUGUGGAUUUAGGCUAUAAUAAAAAUAUUGAAGAAUUACUAAAACUUUCAAAAUGAUUUUUCUGCAUACUUCACAAUAGGUGAGUUCUGUCCUACAAAGCCAGACAAAUGUGAUUUUAUAGUGUAGUUAAUUUUCAUGAACUGCCUUAUUGUAUGCAUACUGACGAUUUCCGGAGUUCACAGUUUUUCUCCUGCUGCAAAAGAUUGCUUUGAAUUCCUAAUGCUCCCAAUAACCUAUCCAAACAGGCUAUAUAUUUGAAUGUAAUGCCCAUAUGCAUAUGAUUUUAGAUGCUCUAUCAGCAAAAAAAUUGAAUCUUAAAAAAAAUAAAAUAAUUACUCGGGGAUUUUGCUUUACUCUGAGGGCAUUCAUUUUGUCAUGCCCUGUGGCAUUUUACAAGUAUUGGAACUGGCAUUUGGCUUUAGAUUCCAAAGAUCUAUGCAGGAAGCUUUACAUUGUUUCCUUUACCCUUUAACUCACUAAACUCUAUAUUUUAUCCUGGCAAAAAUAUUAAGGGAUCCAAGUAAAAGCACAAAGGAACUUGAUUUAAAACCAUAAGUAGAUGAAUGCCUGUACUUCUAGAUUGUAUGUAAAGAUAAAUGACUUAAAGGAGAAAUAAUGUUAAGUGAAAAGGCAUUAUAUAUUCAGCCAGACCUAACGUUGAUCUCAGCAACUGUUAUGUGACACAGUUCCAUUGCAAUCAAUAGAAUGAUGAUUUGCUACAGCCAAGAUACUAUCCCAUAAUAUUUUCAGCAGAUCAGAAACUACAGGGACGCCUGCGUAGACUUUUUUCAAUGACAUCAAGUCAUUAGUUAAUUUUUAGAAGAUGAAAAUGAUGCAACAAUUAACUUCCCCAAAAUAUGUCAUAAUGAAUAUCAAACUUGAUCAUACCCACACAAUAUUUUGUCAUUGUUGUUCUCCUCACUUUUACAGAUGCCACCAUCACCACAUAUACAACCAGAACAAAAUUCAUCUUUUCAUAAUAACACAACUUUUUAGUUCUUACUAAUAUUCAGAUAUUCUCCACCACAAAACAAUUAUUCUCUAUUUUCUAUUUUCAUUUCCUCUGUGUAACACUUCUUUCUUGUCUUUAUUAAAUCUUACCUUAUUGAUUUCAGAUUUUUUUUCAGUCUAUUGGAUCUUUUAAAAUUCUGAUCCUUAUUCUAAGUGCCUAUCAUUGUUACACAACUUGUAAACAUUGGUAAACACUGUAAAUGAUCUUUCACCAUCUAAAACACUAAACAAAAUUUUGAAAUACAUCCCAAGUAGGAUUGUUCUCUGCAAGGUUCUGUUUCAUACACCCUUCCCGGUUUGGUACAAGGCUGCUCUAAUAAUACAUAGUUUCCACUUUCUGUGUUUCAUCUCAUUCCCUUUGUUUAGUCAUACUAGUCCAUUCCUUGGUACAUGCAGGAAGUGUUCUAAUUUAUCAUAUAGAUAUUCACCCUAGUCAUGUAGGAUUAUGAAGCAGGUAAAAUUAAUUCUUCGUAAUAGUUAGAUGAAAAGAAUGCCACCACAAAUGUAUGUAAAUAUGCAUAGAUGCAGACAUCUUUUUACUCCUUUCUUUUAGUCAUGAAUAUCUGACUACUGUUAUUAACAACUCUAGGACUGUGGGGUAGAGAUAUUGUCAUCUUCCAUAAUUUUUCUCCAUCCGUUCCACCAAGAGAAAUUCACCAAUUCAUGUGGUGUUUUUUUCACAGUAGUGUAGGACUACUAGUGAUUUUUCCUUGGUAAAUCACCUUUCUUAGAAGAGUGCUAAAUCACACUGUUCCUUGAUACCUAUACUAAAAUGCAAUAUACUAUCUCAAAAAGAUUGCCUAAUGAUCAAACCUCUCCUAAUACAAUCUUUUCCUCCUCUUCAUUGUGCCUUUGUAUUCCAACUAUUGUUCUUCAGACUUGAAAAUUGAUAUUGUUUUUUUCCUCUUCUGGUUCCAAAUCUCUUGAGAACCCAAACAAUGAAAGUAUCCCCCCAAAGAAAGUGUUUAGAUAGAUGUUUAACGGCAAUCCUGAGAUUUAAGUCUAAAUUACAGCAUCAGAUUUCAUAGCUAAUGGGAAUGUAGCUCUGCCCGUCCUCUCAUUUCUUUGCACACAACAGGAGACUUGACAAAAUGUUGUCAUCACAGAAAUGUUAUCCUUAUUUGUAGUUUUUUUUUUUUCCCUAGUCUGUUUGCAAGUGAUCAUAUUUAAGUCAGAUGGAGCUUUUGGGGAGAACAAUAUUUCAUAGGAAUCUGCUUUGGGUACUUUGGCAACAUCUACCUUCACUUUGGAGAAUUGUUUGAUAUUAUCUCUCCUACAACAUUACAUGCAAAAUUAAUGUGCAGAUAAAGCAUUUGAUAUGAAUGGAAAUAAGAAAAAUGCUAUAUAUUGUUCAUUUACCUUUCAGUACAUGUAGAAACACCCAACUUCUCACACAACUGGCAAAACACAGCACCCUGGUGGCACUGCUGUGGUGUGCAUUAGAAGGUUGGGAGCGUGCAUUCAGUCUCAUUUCAGAGUGUGCAUCAGAUGCUACCUCUCAGCUCAGGCUGUGGAGGUGAUAAGACAGCAUACCAGAUCUAUUUAUAACUGUAACCUUUACAGCAUUAUUUUCCGAACUAAGCUAAACAUGAUAACACCAUCAGGCUGCAUCUCAGAGCUGGGGUGGUGAUGUAGCACAGUGUCACAGUGGUAUGGUAUAGUGCUGUGCUCUCAUGUCAUAUACUGGCUCAUAUCAGUUACAGACAGAAAACAAUACCACUAAGUGCUCUAGGGGAAGGAUGCCGUCUCUUCUUAGAAUUACUAUCUGAUAUUAAAAUGAUACUACACUCAAUUGUAUUUAAAGCAUCAGGAUGAGCAGAAACAUCCUGAAGCACAGUGAGAAAGUGAGUUUUUAAUGGUAUUUCAUUCUUCCAUCAGUACCUCCUAUCAAGAUCUACUGUACACUUUUCCUGAGGUAGAGCUGAUGUUGAUCUGAUGAAAGUGGAGAUAGAUGAGAGUUCUGCUGUUUAACUGUGUGCCUGCAACAGCAAUUUUUGUCUUUAAUUUUUGUUAUUUUGUAAAAAGGCAAAGGAAAAAAUAUCAUUAGACUUCUAUCAAAAGUUGGAAGCCUUUCUUCCUGCACAUGAGAAGAACAAGGAUUCACUAGUCUUAGACUGCUUCCAGCAACUGUAUUGCCAGAAAUGAACUGAUACUUUUAAACAUGGGAUAAUUUAUCAACUACAUUUGCUGUAUAAAUCCUCCAGGGAAAACCUGUGCUAUGACUGUAAAAGCUGCAGAAUAUCUCAUUUUCCAUUUUUCCUAAUUUUUAACUUUUCUCACCAUUUUUCAUGUAUUUCAUCCUCUUCUUUCUUCCUCCCUUUCUCCUUUAUGUUCCUUCCUUUCUCUUUCAGUUCUCUGUCAUCACACAAUUCCCAUUGCCUUCUCUCUUUUAUGUGAAGGUUUCUGUCCUUUGAUAGUAAUGUAAUAUAUGCUUUCAAUAGAAGGUACUCAAAACAGUUUAGACAUCGAGCAUACUACAUGGCGAAAACCCUCAGUUGUCAGUAUCCAGUCAGAAUAGGUGACCUACUCACUGCAAUUCAGUACCUGUGCCCCCAGAGACCCCCAGGGAUUUCAGUACCUGUACCUGCGGUGGUGACCAAUCAAGGCACAACCAUAGACCUCAUCAGAUUGCAGUGAGAUUUCAUUCAUCAUACAAACUUCCUGAGAUGUAUUUACUAAAUGAAGUUCCACCUUUUAUAGGAGACUACGUAUUCAAACCUGACAGGAGCUAGAGAAAGUUUUCAACAAGAAUGUUUUUAUGCUGCAAGUAGAUUUGUAUUCAUUACAUAGCUGUGGGACCACAAGUCCACACUAGUAAAUGUUUUGAUAAAAGAGGUCAUGACCCCAAAGGUUGUCUGAUUGCAACAUAUCACUUAUCCUAUGAAAGAUGAUUACAAUAGGCAGUCACUGAUAGUCUUCUAACAUUCUUAAGGUGACUUUUAACUUAUUUAACUAAGGAAAGGACACUUCUCCUUCAAGGUUGUUCUGUACUUAUAGAAUCUGUUAGACUGCUGACUGAGGAACAAAGGCCUCUGCCUAGUGGUGUAUGUACUGCCAUUGUAAUAAGAUGUUGCAUGCUUAGCAGCACUUUAUGACAAGAAUGGUUCAAAUCCUGGUCCAGACACAGUCCUCAAAGCCGAGGGCAAUAUAACUGCUGGUUCUUCUAUUCCAGAUAAUGCAAGGAUUCACUGCCAUGAUGCUGCAUGUACUUGCAGUCCAUGAUCUCCAUGCAGCCUUCUAGAUAAUCUUCUCUUUCUCUUUUGAAUCUCUUUGUCAGGAAGGAUGCAAACAUUUUCAUUAGCUAUGCUGAAUGUCCCCAUCAGUAAGCAGACAACCUAUCUUUGAGCACAGACUGAAGGACAGCCUUCCUUAGCCAUCUUAAUCAAAUAAACAUCUAUCAAGGAAACAGGCUUUUAAUUGAGUUGCUGUCUAGAAGCAUCCUUUCAAGUUUGAGUAUAUCAGUCAGUUAGUGCAAGGGUCAUACAGUUGAUUCAAAGUGAUAAACUUGGUAUGUUUGUCAGGUCUUGGGCUAGACAGAUUAAAAGAGAGUCUCUUUAAAAACAUUGGGCUGAUGCUGUCAGUAAGAAAGGAGGGGUUGAAACAUAGAGAACACUGUAUACAGAAGACAUACAAGGAUUGUUUCAAAGUAAUGCCUCCUAUUUUAUGAUGCUGGCUCACAACAUCAGAGGUGGAUGUCGAUCUAAAAUGUAUUGCUUUUUUCCAUCUCUCUCCUUUUAGAGGACAUAAUGCAAUAGAAGGGUAGGAGAAGAGAUACCUAGACUGUACCUUCUCCAAGUUGUCUCCUUAGGUUUACAGAUACCCAACAUCUUCUUUAUUGCAUUUUGAUAUUGAAAAAGAUUAUAUAGCUAAAUGAUUAACUUCCUUAGUGGUACAGCUGAAAUUAUUGCUGACAUUUCAGCCUAAUUUAACACAGAAAUCUUUAUUUCAACCUUAUGGAAGGACUUUUUUUUCUCAUGCUCAUAGCAUUUCUGUUUUUAAAAAGGAUAUUUUCCAAUUCUUAAUACAAUAGCUAAUGUUUCCCUCCCUCGCCGUCUGGAAAGGUCUCCUUUUCCUGUCCUAGUUCAUGAAAUUAAAAGUUUUGCCUCCUUUUUUCCUCCUGACUAUCUAUAAUAGGCAAAAGAUAUUAAAACUCCUAACUAAAACAGCAAUAUUACUUCUAGUGCUGUACUUUGAUAACCUCCCUCACCCUAGGCAAACCUCUGAAAUUGCAAUUACAUCUGUUUAUGACUGGGGAUUGUGAUCCAAGCUUUCUGCUCAUAUAACCAGUGGAUUUCUCCAGCUGCAUAAUGGAAUUUUGCCAAAAGAAGAUUUGGCAGAGAGUCAGGUUGUCUCAUCUAGAGAGAAGUCAUAAUGGAAUUUAAAAAACUUCUCUUGUUUUUAUUGUCAGAGAAGAGGGGAUGAGAAAAAUAUAAGCUGUAAGAUUCAAUUUCAUCUCACUCACAAUCUCUCAGAUGUAAGCCUAAACUUAUUUUCUUUUUUAGAAUCAAUUUCCCAAGAAAGGGCAAUGCAAAUUCCACAUCUAGCUCAUCCUAGCAACCUUUUACCUUGAAUUUCACGUAGCCUUGAAACACUGACAUUGGUGGUGCAGAGAAUUUGCAGCAUACUAGUUAAUGCUAAGAUAUUUUGUCCCCUGUGCUUUCAUAGUAGCAUUAGCAUCUUAGAUUCACCCACCUCAUUCUUAACCCACAACCUACAAUCAGGUUGUCACUCACAUCACAUCUACCUGCCUCUGGCAAGAGGAAAGAAUGUUUUCUUUGAAAAAAUUCUACAGCACUGAUGCCAAAUAUAAAUUAGCUGGGACAGGCAUAGACAUCUUUCAUUUGCUUAAACAAAUUAGUCUUCUAAUGUCAGGUCAGGGCAUGCUGACUAAGUAUAGGGAAAACGAUGUAAUUAAAUAUUUAAUCACACAGGUUUCCUGAGAAAGGGACCUGUGACCACAAACAUUAGGCUCAGUUAUGAUGCAGUAGAAUGCAUUCAUUCAGGGAAUGGCUAACAACUGCCUUAUCUAGGUGUUGUUAUUCAUUAAAAACGCAUUUUUUGCUCUCUUUAGUGCUUGUAUUAAUUGCAGUCACAAUUUUUUUGAUGACUUUGAAGACACCUAAAGGGAAGGAAUGGACUCUCUACAUAUAAUGAAGCCUUAUCUUUGAAAUGUUCUUUCUUUAGCUUUAUAUAAGGUAUGUGUACUGCAGCAUAAAUACUGUUUUGUCACCUGAGGUUUAGUGUGCAGGAAUUUGCACAGAGGAAUGGCUUCAAGCUGCACCAGGGAAGAUUCAGGCUGGACGUUAGGAAAUACAACUUCUCUGAAAGGGUGGUGAGGCACUGGAAUGGGCUUCCCAGAGAGGUGGUGUAGUCACCGAGCCUGGUGGUGUUCAAAGAGCGUUUGGAUGUUGUGUUGAGGGACAUAGUUUAGUGAGAAUCAUUGGUGAAGGGCAAAUGGUUGGACUGGAUGAUCCGGUGGGUCUUUUCCAACCUUAGCGAUUCUAUGAUUCUAUGAUUCUGUGAUUCAUCCUCCUACAUGCAGACAGGAAGGCUGAACAACUCAGAUGAAGCCCCUCUGCGUAGUACAGCUGGAAUGAGCUGUCAAGAUUAUGCUAGAAUCUGGAAGGAGAAACUUGGUUUGAAAUACUCUAACGUGGUCAACAUUAAUGAUUUUAGGAACAAGUUAGUAACUGAGAAGGAUGCACACAAAUAAAGUGUGGUGGACCAUAAUCCACAUAAGAGUCAUUGAGUAUCACAUGUUCCCACAUCAAUCUAUUUGUUAUCACCCUCUGUAGCACAAAGCUCAAAGAACAAAUUGUACCUGAUUUCUUCCUUGGUUUCAGUAUAUAACUUCAACCUAGUUAAGAUUAGGCUUUUAGUAUGGGAAAAAUAGCCAUCACAAGAUACAUCAUAUAUACUUAAAACUCUCUAUUAUCCAUAUAUUGUCUGGAAGAGGGUUUCAGAUACCCAGGCCUAACACAGCAAACCGACAUCCAACAUCUUGCACUAGGAAAAUCCUAAAUUCUAUGUCUCACUGAAGAUUUUCAAUGUAAAAAGAAAAAAAGAAAAAAACAGAAGAAUUUUCAAUUUAUGCCAGAUUCAGAUUUUCCUCUGAAGUUUUGCUUUGUAUGGUCAAUUUUCUUUUCAAAUAUUUUUUCAAAGUAAAAGGAGUUGGUUUGCUGGGAUGUUAUUUUUUGUUUGCUUUUAAAUGAGGUAUUUAUAUGAUAAUUCUGUUAAUUCUUACACACAUUUAAAUCAUUAAAUUAAAGUCUUUAAUAAUUCCUAACUGAAAAUGACUUCAAAGUAUUUUCUGAAUUUUUCAGAUAAUUGUGUCAUAGUAUAAUACAGGUUCUCUCUUUCUUCUUAUAUUCCUAUGUUCUUUGAUUCUUAAUGCCCAAUGAAUAUUUUGGACAGUCAUUUAUUGCAAGAUAAUCAUCCUACUAAAAUAAACAUAAAUUAUGCAUAAAUGUCAAUAAAUAUAUUCAUUUUCUGAAGACAAGACAACCUGUAAAAUAUCUUUUAAGUAGCUGCAGGCACAUAAUUAUUUCAAAUGUUAAAGCUUUUUUAAACUGGAAAUGAAUUUGAAGAUUGCCAUGAAUAAUGAGAUUAACAUGAAUGCGUCAAUGAUAUGGGUUGCAUGCAACUUCUCAAUUUCUCUAAUGCUGACAAGAAUCAAAGAAAUAUAUUUGUCAUUUUUGACCAGAUACAUUGUCUAACGUUGAACUGAUUUUUAUAAUUCAAAUUAUUUUGGCCAGUUCCCUAUAAACAUGGCACUAAUCAUAAAUGGUGAUAACAAAUUGUCUUCAAGAAAUCCAAGAGUAUGGAAGAGUGGCUAAGUAUCUUGCAUCUUGAAUAAUCAGUUUAAUGACACAGAAACACUUUUGGCUAAUAAAAUAGCUUUUAGUUAGGUGCCAUAAAGCUUCUUAAGAGUGAAGGUAAGCCCUUGGGUGCUUUAAAGUGCAAGCCUUAUGUAGAAGGUUAUGUCCUUCCACUAUAUUAGAUUCAAAGUUUCAUUAGUACCAUGUUGCAUUGUAAAAUGUAGUUUUUUGUACUAAAUACAUAAUGCAGAGAGUCUGAGCUUUUAUUCUUAUUCUCUGAUUGUACUCCACAGUUUCCUAAUUUUAAAAAGCAGAUAGACUUGUAAGUGUCUAUGUAAGCAAUGUUUAUUAUGGACAAGCAACGAUGGUAAUUAACUCUGGCAUUGUCCCAUACCUCUAAGUGUAAAAUUUUCUCUAAGCAGAUCUCAGAUGAAUUAUCCAACCAACCUCACUUAAUCAGAUCUUUUUAACAUCCUCUGUAAUUAUAUCACCUGUGCUGUUGAGCUUGGGAAUUUUCCAUUCUUCUUUCUGUCCUCUUUACUUCUCCCCAGGGAGUGGCAGUUUAAGAGAGAUUUCCAAUGAUACAGGUAGUUAAAUCAGGCAGUGCCACAGGGUUAUCUCUCAUGGCAAUUGCUGCAGACUGGUGGCAUGUUCAUCUUGGGAGGAAUUCAUGUUCCAAACUGAGUCAUUUGGGAACAGUGAAAGAACUCAUCCCUUCCCUGCAAAUAUGAAUCAGGGAGGUCCAUAGCUUGUGCUUCUUUCUGUGUUCAUCUGGUGGACCCAACCCAAACUUCAGAAAGUCCAGCAGCAAGAUUGCUCCACAGCUGGCAGAGUGCACCCAAGGUAUUGCUCCAGGUUAUGCAGGCCAUAAGCCCUCAAGUGCUUUGGUUUUGAAAUUUUCAAAUCUCUGCUAAUGUUUUAAGGGGAAUGCUGCAAAUCAGAACCUCCAGUUUUACAAAGAAUAUCUGUACAUUUUUGCUAGCAAAUUCCAAAGUGAGUGGUUCAGGUAGCCUGAUGAAAUAGUGUUGCAGUUCUCAUAGGUGUCGACAUUUGAAAAGAAGUACCUUGUUGUUUAUCUCUAACACCACAAACAGUAUCCCCCAUAGUUUCAUCAACUGAGAUUUAUAAUGGAAAGAAAUAGUUAAUGUGUUUAGCAGGUUUCCUGAAUCAAAUGUAUCCAGAACUGAUAAUAGCUAUUUAGCACUGUUUCAUUUCUGUAGGAAUGUCUUAAGAGCCUUAGAGACAGUAUUGAGAUCUUCAAAGCUGCCCUCAGACAAAAAUAUUUUCUUUUGACAGUUGUGAAAUAACAUGCCUGGCACAGUCCCUGUGAACAGUAAAUGAAAGCAAGUGAACUAAAAUUCAGAGAGAGUCAUUCCCUUUGCCAUAAGUCUGUAUGUUACAGCACACAAUACCGUGGCAAGACCUAGCUUGCAUGGAAGUGAAAUGCUCAAAAUACAACUUGGUUUUAGGGAUGAUAUUUCAGAUAGCUGUUAAGAAUGCAUUUAUGAAUGAAUGUAGUGACAUUAUUGGAUAACUGGAGUCAAUGACUGAAAGCAGAGGGGAAAAGAGAAGGCAAGAAGAAAUUUAAAAGAGAAAAUAUAGAGAAAAAGCAAAAGAUAAAGAGAAAACCAACCAAGAAAUUAAUAAAAAUAUUAUGCAGUGGAAAUUAAAAUCUAUGUCCCUGUGCUCUCAACUGAAGAAAAGCUGCAAUGAGGAAUAUCAGUAUGCAAAGGCAAUAGUAGCUAAAAAAUCUCUAAAUGUGUUGUGGAUUUUUUCUUGCAACAUCUGGUUCCUUUACUCUAGUUGAUUUUGACUGACAAAAUGUUCUCAGGUGUUUUUUGAUUUUGAAGUAAACAUUCUGGGAAAUUAAAUGUUGCUCCCAUAAUCAGGAGCAAUGACAUAAGAAAUACAAUAAAGAGGAAGUCCAAUUACAUGAUAGGAGUGUUAGAUUCAAGUUGAAAAUGAUAUUCAAAACUGUACUCUUUCAUCAACUUCAUAUGUUUUCCUUUGAAAAAAAGAAGUUGAGAAAAGUUUUCUUAUUUUUAUUUCACUUCACACAACCAGUGAAAAAGACGUGUGUCCUUGCUUCUCAUGCCCCAAGGGAAUUCCUCAGUGCAAAUUAACUGCAAUGGGAUUUUGCAUCUGUCACCUUCCUUCUCCACUUCAAGGAGAAAGUACAGACAACAUAUGUCUUUUAUGCUAGCCUUCCGGCCACAGAAAGUCCUUUAGGAGACUCCAAGUGCAAGAACUAAAAUACAAUUUGUCUGUGAGUGAUCAUGUAAAUUAGUGUACUGUAAUCAUCUCUCUUCUGUUUUCACCAACAGUCCUGCAGAGAUUUCAUGGUGAAGAGGAAAAUCUUUAUAACUUUAUCCCUUACCUACUUGCAAUAGGUAAGAUAUAUUAUGUACAGUUACAUUUUUACUUUCUUCCACCUCUGUGUAGUUGAUAAACUCUCUGGGAGGUGAAAGCAAUGGAAGAAACGGAACAGGUUGCCCAGAGAAGUUGUGGAGAAGUGUGAAUACCCUCUUUGGAGAUAUUCAAAAGCUGUAUGGACAUGCUCCUGGACAAACUGUUCCACCUGACCCUUGAGUAGGGGGUUGGACAAGAUGAUCUCCAGAGUUUCUUGCAACCUAAACCAUUGUUGCUCAGGAACUGUAAUAGGAUUAAAGCCAGAAAGAAAUUAUACUGCUUUAUAUUAGCUGAUGAUUUUGUCUUGCAGAUCUUAAAGGUUGGCUAUUUGUUCCUUUAGACAUCCUUUUCCCACUGGAUCUCUUAUCCCAAACAGAGGAAGGGAAUGCCUGCCCUGAAACUGAUUUUAGAAGUACCACCAUCACCUCAGAUAUGCAAUAUGUUGAAAACUGCACUCACCUGGUUCUUGAUGUGUUUAAUAUAAUGUUCUGCAAUUACUCUGCACUUCCUCAUCUUGUUGCUUUCCGUGAGAAUCUGAAAAGAUAAUAAUACUUCCAGUAUAAUCAUGAAGUUUCUAGACAUGUCAGUUCCUGUGCUUUUCCCCUACCUCGUUUCACUUUUGAAACAAGUACUGUACUACAUACAUUGAAGAUUUAGGUUUGAACUCUCACUAUAAUCAUUGUUUAGCUUUGAACUGUAUUCCCUGUAAGUAAUUGAGAUUACUAUAAAGUUGUGAUUGUGAAUGCAGGAGAAUGCUAAUGAACUGGAAUUCCUUCUCAAUCCAGAACAAAUAAUUGCAAAAAAGAAAGACUCACUCAUAUUCAGAUUAGGCUUUGCUCAGGCUAAGAUCAGUGUUUGAUUAGUGGAAAUAAGCUGUUUAACUAAAAUGAGAAAUGACCUUAAUAUUAACCUGAAGCUCAAACUAAAUCCACUUUCAAUUAUGAAAAAAAAAAUUGGUUUGUGUGUACAUUUGUCCUUUGGUUAUGUACCCAUACAUAAAAACAUUCACAGAGCAAAAUAAUGACUGCUCUCUCCAGAAGUUAUUUUAAAUAAGUCUUAGAAAUGUGAAGUAGUUAAACUUUCAAGGGAUAAAGCCAGUACCAUUUCAAAUUGUGUUAAACAAGAGGAAAAGCUACUCAGUAAAUGAAUUUGGUUUACUGUAAUAAUAAAAGCAAUUCUCAUGAGAUUUUCUGUAGGGUUUGUUUUCCAGUGUUUAUUAUUACCUUUAUUUUAAUUAUUAUAUAUUAUUAUUACCUUUAAUUUCUGUUCAGGAAUAAUUCUGAACUCUUGGAUUCUUAUUUAAAUUUAGCUAAGCACUCUGAGGGUAACCUGCAAAUUCAACCCAAAUCUCUCUCUCUCAAAAAAAGUCAAUUAAAUGCUCAAAUGGAUCACCUGCUCUACAUGACCUUACUUGAACAAGGUGGGUGGACCAGAUGACCUCCAAAGGUCCUUCCUAACCUCUAACAAUCUGUGAUUGUGUUGUUUUUUUGUUUUGUUUUGUUUUGUUUUUAACAACUAGCACCCCAAGCUUACAACAACAACAACAAAAACAGCUUUUUGUGGUUGCAACAACAACAACAACAAUAAACCAACAGCAACUGUAUUUUAUCUAUUUUGUUCAGAUGUGAGCCUCAAAAAUUAAAGCACUUUUGGUCCACUUAUCUGUCACCUUUCCUGGUGAUACACAUGUCAAAUAUGAAAAUAAUUACACUCACUCUAAAACAGAGGGAAAGAGAAAUAUAGGGGAAAAAGAUGGUGGUGCCAUCUCAAACAAAUGGACCCAACACAGUAAUAACAAUUAGAUGUAUUUUAUCAUGGGAUUGUGCCAGAUUUAACUUCAGCUUAUUUUUUUUUUCAACAUAAAGUAUCCUAACUCAAAAAACAUAUAUUUAUGCUUAAAAUCAAAGAUAAAUAGAUAAAGAUACGUGUAUGUAUUCACACACUAACAUACCUGAAGGGCAGAUAUCACUGAGUUAAGUACAAAGUCUGGCUUACCAGUGCUUUGUUACAGCAUUAUGCUGCCGAAAUAUAAUCUAUUUUCAUGUAGACAUAUCACUAUAAUAGCAGGUUAGUAUAGAUAAUGUGUAUAUGUUAUAUGCUGCAGAUACAAAGACAGACUACAGUGAUAGUAGAAUUCUCUUCUGGAGUCUGAAUAUAUUUAUAUCAGUCUCAGGUUUUUGUUAGGAAUUUAGCAUGAUGGGAACACUCAGGGAGCCAACAGAUCUCCACAACAUAUAUCAGAGCAUUGGUCAGUGCUAGGAGGCAGGAGUCACUGUACCUAAUGCUGUGGUACUGGAGGCAUAGACUGUAGACAAUGGGAGCAGCGUAUAUUUGUUUUCAGUUUGGCCCUUGACUAAAGACAGUUCAAGUAUUGAAGUGCAUUAUUUAGAAUAAAGAAUCUGCAUUGUUCUCUCCUUUAAUCAAGAUGAGACACAGGACACUUUAUUGAAGGUAGUUUCUCAUUCUCUCAAUAACCCCUCCAUUUACAUGGCUGAAAACUCAAGAGCUUAGCAAAGAAUUUUAAUCAAACCGCUUAAUCUGAAUAACUGCUGAAGAGAAACUGCAGUAAUAGAGUUAGAGGAUAGAACUGCUGCCAGCAAAAUGUAAACAGGUUUUAAAAAGAGCAACACUAGGAGCAGAAAGACAUCUUUGGAGGGAACUAUAUUGUACCAGCCCUCCUUUGCAGGAUUUUAGCAAUUCAAUUAGACAUCCUUACAAGUUUAGUACUUGUUGUUAGAAAUACACCUCCAUCCUCCAAUGCCAGUUGUUGAUUCAUAACAUCUGAUUUUGUAUAAUUAGAAUUUCUCUGUGGCUCAGAGGCCAAGUAAGCCUGAGGCUCUCACAUCUGCUGAAGAGCACUUGAGGUUUAAAAAGUGGAGCAGGUAUAACAUGUGGAGAGAAAUGGUGAAAAUCAGCAUCUACUCCAAGCACGGAAGAAGAGAAGAAAAACAAAUGUGCAUUGUAGGUAAAACUGAAGGGACUGCCUCCAAAUAAACUGCCCCCUCAGGGCAUACUGUGUAUAAGUUGUCUCAGAACUUUCUUAGCCUUUGUAGUGCACUAUGUGGAACUGUAGGAAAGUAAGACAGAAGGAGACAUUGGGAGAGGCUGGGGCUUGGGAAUUAAAUAGUUGUACAGUCCAACAGAUGGCCAACUUGCAAUGUUUUUCUUCAAGCAAAUUCCCAUGAAGGAAAAAUUUAGCCUGAGUUUUAAUCGUAUUAAAAAAGUAUGAAUGCAUUUCUGAUUCAGAGAGGUGGACUACAUUACUGGUUUCUUAUGUAUCCAGAGCUUUUAUCUGUGCUGCUGAAGUUGAAAAUUCUCUGGUGACAAAACUCUCAGAGAUAUGAUUAUUUAUCACAAAGGAGUAGCAAAUAACAGGGAUUUGGGACUUGGGAUUUGAGAGUUGAUGAAUUUUUCACUGGUAAUACAUGGUAAACUUGUCAGUUUGCAUUUAAUCUCACUUUAAUUUUGAGUUAAAUUAAAGUUAAAUAUCCUAGAAUAUCUGUUUUCACUGGAAAGCAUAUGUUGUUUGAAACAGGUUACAUAUUUGCCAAAAAGAUUUAUGAGAGAUAAUGGGUAGGAAACCAUCUUUGAAUAUCCUAUGAAACUUGAAGUCAGAGGUAUGUUGUGUGAGAAGAGUUGUGCAGAGAAAUGCUUAGACUACUGCUGCAAAAAUUCUUCUAACCUAUACUGGGCUUCCAUAACUUUCACCAACUCCCUUAACUUGGCUGCAGAAUGUGUAAAUUUAAAAAAUGUGUCCCACACAAUUACAAAACUUUUAGAACUGAUAUUUGUGAAAGGCCUUUGUAUACAAGUGAUUUUCUAAACGGUAAUAUAUAACAAUAUUCUACAUAGUCAGCAGUAAGAACAAAGACCAACCUCAAAAUUACCAUUGUACUUAUUCUCUCCAAUUACACAGACAAUGAAGGAUGAUGGAAAGAAGGCAAACCUGUAAUAUUGGGCUGGAUAACCCAAGAGAAUGGACUGGGAG